CUGGGCCGCACGCAUGCCAUGUGAGCCCGCUACCGCUUGAGCCAUAUCCCCAGCCCCUAUUAUUUCUUUCAUUUCAAGGAUUUCUGUUUGUUUGUUUGUUUGUUUUAGAACCUCUGUCUCCCUGUUGAGGUGAUCUUUUACUUCUUUUAUUUGUUUAUGUAGCUCAUUGUCGAAGUGAUCUUUUACUGCUUGUCUUUGCUCUGUUAUACCUUCUUGGCGUUUACAGGACAUUUUAACCAUGUAUAUCCUGAAAUCUUUCUGUGUCCAUUUUUCUGCUGUAGCUGCCAAUGAUUCUAAUGAUGUGUUCUCUUGAUUUGUUUGGGCACUUUCUUCCCUUGUCUUUUCAUGUUACUUGUGUGUCUUCCUUUCCAGCUCUGUGGUUCUGAGGUGUUAUGGUUUUUACCCUAUUGAUUUGUAGUGCUCUUGUAGGUUUGCAAGAUCCCUCCUUUGUGGGGAAGGACAAUGUUUACAGAUCCCAAUAUCAACAAUACAUCACGUAUAAACUAUUUGUUGUUAUGAAGACAUUUACAGUUUAGUCUCAAUGUCCAGAAAUGUUGGAUUCAAUUAUUAUUUAAGCUAUAAUCAGUAGUUUUGUAAAAAGGUUUACAGUCUGGUGGUGGACAAUGAACUGGGGAUCUGGCAGGAUGAUAUGUGGCUCAGAGGGAGUUCCCAUCUGCCAGCCAUCCACAUCAAAUAUGGGGAGAAAGGUGAUCCAAGAUGGAGCCGGUCUGCUUCCAUUGAUGUGGGGGGAGCUGGGUGAUGGCCUUGUGCUGUGGGUAGGUAGCAGCUGAGUUGCCUGUGUGGGAAUGGGGUGCAGCCUGGAGUUCUGCAGAGGGGCUGAGAAGUGUUUCUGCUGAGCCACUCAAGAGCUGCUUGGGGCUAGAGCUGUGGGCUUUGGGCCUGGAGUCCAGAGUCUUACUCGAACCCUGAGGCUCUGAAUUCUGCAGUGGGCUUACAGCUUGGUGAUUUCUGUGAAAAUCCACUCUAGAGUGUAUUUUCAUGCUCUCUGAAAUCCUGUAUUCUGAUGAGGUGAGACCUAGGCCACGGAACAACACACGAUGCUGCCUGUCUCUGGCCCACCAUCUUGAAUGUCCCCCCUUCUGGUCUUGACAUGAUAUGGUACCCUUUCAACUGUCAAGGUCUCUUUAAACAGCAGGGAAGAACUCAAACUGGAGAAAAGCCUUGUAUGUAGAAAUGUGAUAAGACAUUCCUUGUUUCAGAUCUAGUUAGACUUAUUCAGAUUUGAGGGAAUAUUUUGUAUUAUUUAUUAUUAUUAUUAUUUUCAACCCAGAGGUGCUGAACCACUGACACUCAUCCCAGUCUUUUUUAAUUUUUUUUUUUCCAAUUUUGAGACAUGGUCUCACUUGGUUGCUUAGGUCCUAAGUGGCUGAGGCUGGCUUUGAACUUGUGAUCCUGCUGCCUCAGCCUGAUGUAGUCUUCACUGCCUUCAGCAACCAUGCUCUUUUGAGAAAACAAGUGUGGGAGUGUGAAAAGUGUAUGUGCCUUCAUUCUGGCAAUUCACAGGUGAUAAAAAUGCACCCUAGAGUGGAUGUAAGGAUGGCAUCAGUGUGAAGAUGUGAAAGCAAGGUUAAAUCUCUGUUAUUGUUAGAUUCAUCUCUUUUGUAUUUUAAGUUCUUUGCAUCUUUUGAUAU
This 1652-nucleotide long non-coding RNA is filed under the name Marmota monax (woodchuck). Lineage: Eukaryota; Metazoa; Chordata; Mammalia; Rodentia; Sciuridae. The record is from RNAcentral.